UCCUCGAUAGCUCAGUUGGUAGAGCGCGCGGCUGUUAACCGCGUUGUCGUAGGUUCAAGUCCUACUCGGGGAG
This 73-nucleotide transfer RNA is filed under the name Clostridia bacterium. RNAcentral describes it as "tRNA-Asn". It matches the Rfam family "tRNA". From Rfam's summary of the family: Transfer RNA (tRNA) molecules are approximately 80 nucleotides in length. The record is from RNAcentral. Lineage: Bacteria; Bacillati; Bacillota; Clostridia.